Molecule: ribosomal RNA, 754 nt
Filed under: uncultured Alphaproteobacteria bacterium
Lineage: Bacteria; Pseudomonadati; Pseudomonadota; Alphaproteobacteria
Description: bacterial SSU rRNA
Rfam family: Bacterial small subunit ribosomal RNA
Source: RNAcentral
AGGGUUUGAUCCUGGCUCAGAACGAACGCUGGCGGCGGGCCUAACACAUGCAAGUCGAACGCUCGUAGCAAUACGGGAGUGGCAGACGGGUGAGUAACGCGUGGGAACGUACCUUUCAGUUCGGAAUAACCCGGGGAAACUCGGGCUAAUACCGGAUACGUCCGCAAGGAGAAAGAUUUAUCGCCGAAAGAUCGGCCCGCGUCGGAUUAGCUAGUUGGAGAGGUAACGGCCCACCAAGGCGACGAUCCGUAGCUGGUCUGAGAGGAUGAUCAGCCACACUGGGACUGAGACACGGCCCAGACUCCUACGGGAGGCAGCAGUGGGGAAUAUUGGACAAUGGGCGAAAGCCUGAUCCAGCCAUGCCGCGUGAGUGAAGAAGGCCUUAGGGUUGUAAAGCUCUUUCAGCGGGGAAGAUAAUGACGGUACCCGCAGAAGAAGUCCCGGCUAACUUCGUGCCAGCAGCCGCGGUAAUACGAAGGGGACUAGCGUUGUUCGGAAUUACUGGGCGUAAAGCGCGCGUAGGCGGAUCGCUAAGUCAGGGGUGAAAUCCCAGGGCUCAACCCUGGAACUGCCUUUGAUACUGACGAUCUGGAGAUCGGGAGAGGUUGGUGGAAUUCCGAGUGUAGAGGUGAAAUUCGUAGAUAUUCGGAGGAACACCAGAAGCGAAGGCGGCCAACUGGCCCGAUACUGACGCUGAGCGCGAAAGCGUGGGGAGCAAAACAGGAUUAGAUACCUGGUAGUCCACGCCGUAGAC